ACCAAGGAAAGGCAUAAGGCGAAUUUCCGUCACGGUGUCGUCUGUUUGCUGACGUGGUUAGCAUCGGGUCCACCAAAGAAAAGGCAAAAACGACAUUUUACACACCCUAAUCGAGUCAAAGCUCGACCUCCCUCCCUUUCUUUCCCUCCCCUUCCUCCCCUUCCUUUCCUCCCCUCCCUUAAUCGACUAAAAUCACAAAGGUCAGAGAAAAGAAGGAGAGAAGGUGGCUACCUCUCCGAUCGGGUUUCCGAUCCCCGUCACGGCAGCAAGCGAAACUGGUGCUGGUAGUGUCUGCGUUUUAUGGCGAAUCGAGGUUCGACUCAGGUAUAAAAGUUGGUCUAUUCUUCAAUCUCUACCUCUUUGUAUAAUCGAAUUUGAGUAUGGAUUGAGUGUUGGAAGGGUUGGGAUUUUAGGCAGUGGGCACCACCGUGAGUUCUGCCGUGUACGGGGGAGGCGGUGACGUUUUGAUCUUUGUUUGGUGAUUUCCAGUUUAAGUGAAUCUCUGAGCAUGAUUUUGAUUGUUAGAUGUAUUGGAUUACAAAGUUGAGGAUUUGAGAGGGUAGAUGAUCGGAAGGUUUCUAUCUAUGUUCUUUUGCUGUUCUUAGAGACGUUUUGGAUGUUGGCAGCCUAUUUGAUUUGUAACAGAUGCAUAGGAACCUUAGUUGGUUGUUAUUGAUGCUUCAAUUCGAGAUUGUCGAGAGUUGAAGCAUAUUGCUUACUCUAGUGCCCCUGAGUCUAUGAAAAGUGAACUUCGAACUAUAUACAAUCAAUUGUGCUAAGAUGAUAUGCCCAUGGUUUGAAGAUCUGCUGCAACUAACCUGGGAAAAUUUGCUGCGACUGUUGAAGCUGCCCACCUCAAAACUAAGGUCAUGUCUAUAUUUGAGGAUUUGACACAGGAUGGAUAAGUCUUGGCGUGUUCGUUACAUGGUUGCAAAUCAAUUAUAUGAUCGAGCUGUGUGAAGUUGUUGGUCCAGAAGGCACCAGGUCAGAUCUGGUGCCUGCCUAUGUUCGUCUUCUUCGCGAUAAUGAGGCUGAAGUACGGAUUGCUACUGAAUUGAUGUUGGUUCAUGAUAGGCUAAAUCAGAGAAACAUAAUAUGUAAUUCAUCAUGUUUUGGAAUCAAUUUUUUGCAAACAAUUUGGUUCCUUGAGUUUUUGGAAACCAAUUAAGCUUGAAUUCUGAUGUUGAACUGAUAUUGGUUUUAAUUCCGUGAUAUUGGCAGCCCUUUUUGGUACU
This is an RNA transcript of Fragaria vesca subsp. vesca, 1235 nucleotides long. RefSeq lists it as uncharacterized. NCBI's taxonomy places the organism in Eukaryota, Viridiplantae, Streptophyta, Magnoliopsida, Rosales, Rosaceae. The record is from RefSeq and is a predicted model, not a curated record. The transcript has 3 exons.